Molecule: signal recognition particle RNA, 307 nt
Filed under: Castor canadensis (American beaver)
Lineage: Eukaryota; Metazoa; Chordata; Mammalia; Rodentia; Castoridae
Description: Metazoan signal recognition particle RNA (ENSCCNG00000004026.1)
Rfam family: Metazoan signal recognition particle RNA
About the family: The signal recognition particle (SRP) is a universally conserved ribonucleoprotein. It is involved in the co-translational targeting of proteins to membranes. The eukaryotic SRP consists of a 300-nucleotide 7S RNA and six proteins: SRPs 72, 68, 54, 19, 14, and 9.
Source: RNAcentral
GCCGGGCGCGGUGGCGCACGCCUGUAGUCCUAGCUACUCAGGAGGCUGAGGCAGGAGGAUCGCUUGAGUCCAGGAGUUCUGGGCUGCAGUGCGCUAUGCCGAUUGGGUGUCCACACUAAGUUCAGCAUCAAUAUGGUGACCUCCCAGGAGCAGGGAACCACCAGGUUGCCUAAGGAGGGGUGAACCGGCCCAGGUCGGAAACGGAGCAAGUCAAAAGAAAUGGUCUCUAAACUGAAGAGAACACCCACAGAGUGGGAGAAAAUAUUUGUCAGCCAUACAUCAGACAAAGGACGGAUAACCAGAAUAU